AUUGAACGCUGGCGGCAUGCCUUACACAUGCAAGUCGAACGGCAGCACGGGAGCAAUCCUGGUGGCGAGUGGCGAACGGGUGAGUAAUACAUCGGAACGUGCCCAGUAGUGGGGGGAUAGCCCGGCGAAAGCCGGAUUAAUACCGCAUACGACCUACGGGUGAAAGCGGGGGAUCGCAAGACCUCGCGCUAUUGGAGCGGCCGAUGGCAGAUUAGGUAGUUGGUGAGGUAAAGGCUCACCAAGCAACGAUCUGUAGCUGGUCUGAGAGGACGACCAGCCACACUGGGACUGAGACACGGCCCAGACUCCUACGGGAGGCAGCAGUGGGGAAUUUUUGGACAAAUGGGCGCAAGCCUGAUCCAGCCAUGCCGCGUGCGGGAAGAAGGCC
This 388-nucleotide ribosomal RNA is filed under the name uncultured bacterium. Its description in RNAcentral is "bacterial SSU rRNA". It matches the Rfam family "Bacterial small subunit ribosomal RNA", at positions 29 to 416 of the family's 1533-position model. The record is from RNAcentral.